RNAcentral lists this ribosomal RNA (240 nucleotides) under uncultured Lactobacillus sp. RNAcentral describes it as "partial 16S ribosomal RNA". It matches the Rfam family "Bacterial small subunit ribosomal RNA", at positions 122 to 354 of the family's 1533-position model. Lineage: Bacteria; Bacillati; Bacillota; Bacilli; Lactobacillales; Lactobacillaceae. The record is from RNAcentral.
UAACCUGCCCAAGAGAUCGGGAUAACACCUGGAAACAGAUGCUAAUACCGGAUAANAACAGAUGAUGCCUAUCAACUGUUUAAAAGAUGGUUCUGCUAUCACUCUUGGAUGGACCUGCGGUGCAUUAGCUAGUUGGUAGGGUAACGGCCUACCAAGGCGAUGAUGCAUAGCCGAGUUGAGAGACUGAUCGGCCACAUUGGGACUGAGACACGGCCCAAACUCCUACGGGAGGCAGCAGGA